AAGUCGUAACAAGGUUUCCGUAGGUGAACCUGCGGAAGGAUCAUUAUUACGUAUCCACGUAUCAACCCAAUCGUGAACUUGUUUCCCGUCUGAUGAGGAUUUCUGCGACCAAUUGAUAAAAUGCGUGAUGAACUGGAGGGUAGAAGAAAGGUUUCGGCCUGAUUCUUCUCCAGCAUCAAGCGGUCGGUCCUAGACUCUUCCAAGGCUUUCAGUCUUUGUUGAGUCUAGCUCAUUGGAUGUGGUUUAUUUCAUCAUGCGACUUAUUAACCCCUUGUACAAAUAUGAACUAAAACAAUUGCUGCCCGAUCAAAAGGGUGGUAACAAAUUGAAACUAAAAACAACUCUUAACAACGGAUAUCUUGGUUCUC
RNAcentral lists this unclassified non-coding RNA (368 nucleotides) under fungal sp. RNAcentral describes it as "partial internal transcribed spacer region". The stretch from base 1 to 46 matches the Rfam family "Eukaryotic small subunit ribosomal RNA", at positions 1786 to 1831 of the family's 1831-position model. Lineage: Eukaryota; Fungi. The record is from RNAcentral.